UUCCUCUCCGACCACCACCAGAAUGAGCGCCUCGAUUGAAGUUUGGAGAGACAUUAUUAUUGUUCUGUCCUGAUUUUGGUCCAUUCUCGGGCACCUGACCUCCCAAAUUCAUCGGUGGAGGAGUAAAUUGGCCUGGUAUGCUCAUUGGAGAAGGUGAUUGUCCUUGAUUGAAGUUUGGAGAGCCAUUAAUGUACCCAGGAACCACAGCAUUUGGUUGUGAAUUGUUGUUCUGUCCUAAUUGCGGUCCAUUCGCUGGUACCUGACCUCCCAAAUUCAUGGGUGCAGGAGUAAAUUGGCCUGGUAAGCCCAUCGGCAUACCUGGUUGAUUAAAAACAUUUUGUCCAAACGCAGGCCAAGGUCCAAAUGGUGGCCCUGCACCAAAAUUUGGUAGCCCACCUG
Molecule: unclassified non-coding RNA, 399 nt
Filed under: Hevea brasiliensis (rubber tree)
Lineage: Eukaryota; Viridiplantae; Streptophyta; Magnoliopsida; Malpighiales; Euphorbiaceae
Source: RNAcentral